GGGGAAUUAGCUCAAGUGGUAGAGCGCUCGCUUAGCAUGUGAGAGGCAGCGGGAUCCAUGCCCGCAUUCUCCA
RNAcentral lists this transfer RNA (73 nucleotides) under Columba livia (rock pigeon). It matches the Rfam family "tRNA". Rfam says of the family: Transfer RNA (tRNA) molecules are approximately 80 nucleotides in length. Their secondary structure includes four short double-helical elements and three loops (D, anti-codon, and T loops). Further hydrogen bonds mediate the characteristic L-shaped molecular structure. tRNAs have two regions of fundamental functional importance: the anti-codon, which is responsible for specific mRNA codon recognition, and the 3' end, to which the tRNAs corresponding amino acid is attached (by aminoacyl-tRNA synthetases). tRNAs cope with the degeneracy of the genetic code in two manners: having more than one tRNA (with a specific anti-codon) for a particular amino acid; and 'wobble' base-pairing, i.e. permitting non-standard base-pairing at the 3rd anti-codon position. Lineage: Eukaryota; Metazoa; Chordata; Aves; Columbiformes; Columbidae. The record is from Rfam by way of RNAcentral.